GAUGAAGGAACGUAGCGAAAUGCGAUACUUGGUGUGAAUUGCAGAAUCCCGUGAACCAUCGAGUCUUUGAACGCAAGUUGCGCCCGAAGCCACUAGGCCGAGGGCACGCCUGCCUGGGCGUCACACGUCGUUGCCCCCCCCCCAUCUACUCCUUCGGGAUUGCGGGGGGCGGAUGAUGGCCUCCCGUGCGCCUAGCCGCGCGGUUGGCAUAAAUACCAAGUCCUCGGCGACGCACGCCACGACAAUCGGUGGUUGCGAAACCUCGGUUGCCCGUCGUGUGCGUUCGUCGCGCAUCGAGGGCUCGAAAAAAUGCUCGGCUCCGGCUCGGCUUUCAACGCGACCCCAGGUCAGGCGGGGUUACCCGCUGAAUUUAAGCAUAUCAAUAAGCGGAGGA
Molecule: unclassified non-coding RNA, 394 nt
Filed under: soil metagenome
Description: partial contains 5.8S ribosomal RNA, internal transcribed spacer 2, and large subunit ribosomal RNA
Rfam family: 5.8S ribosomal RNA (bases 1-123)
Source: RNAcentral